Molecule: transfer RNA, 76 nt
Filed under: Streptomyces sp. W007
Lineage: Bacteria; Bacillati; Actinomycetota; Actinomycetes; Kitasatosporales; Streptomycetaceae
Description: tRNA-Thr
Rfam family: tRNA
About the family: Transfer RNA (tRNA) molecules are approximately 80 nucleotides in length. Their secondary structure includes four short double-helical elements and three loops (D, anti-codon, and T loops).
Source: RNAcentral
GCCCCUGUAGCUCAGCCGGAAGAGCGCCUCUCUCGUAAAGAGGAUGUCGCGGGUUCGACUCCUGCCAGGGGCUCAA